AGAGUUUGAUCCUGGCUCAGGAUAAACGCUGCGGCGCACAUAAGACAUGCAAGUCGAACGAAUUAACCUAAAUGUUUUACAUUUUGGAGCGGUUAGUGGCGGACUGGUGAGUAACAUGUAAGCAAUCUGCCUAUUAGAGGGGAAUAACAACGAGAAAUCGUUGCUAAUACCGCAUAUGCCAUAUUUAUCGCAUGAUAAAAGUGGGAAAGGAGCAAUCCGCUAAUAGAUGAGCUUGCACCUGAUUAGUUAGUUGGUGGGGUAAUGGCCUACCAAGACGACGAUCAGUAGCCGGACUGAGAGGUUCAACGGCCACAUUGGGACUGAGAUACGGCCCAGACUCCUACGGGAGGCAGCAGUCGGGAAUAUUGCGCAAUGGAGGAAACUCUGACGCAGUGACGCCGCGUAUAGGAAGAAGGUUUUCGGAUUGUAAACUAUUGUCGAUAGGGAAGAAAAAGACGGUACCUAUCAAGAAAGCUCCGGCUAACUACGUG
Molecule: ribosomal RNA, 491 nt
Filed under: uncultured bacterium
Lineage: Bacteria
Description: bacterial SSU rRNA
Rfam family: Bacterial small subunit ribosomal RNA
Source: RNAcentral